RNAcentral lists this ribosomal RNA (481 nucleotides) under uncultured bacterium. RNAcentral describes it as "partial 16S ribosomal RNA". It matches the Rfam family "Bacterial small subunit ribosomal RNA", at positions 28 to 523 of the family's 1533-position model. The record is from RNAcentral.
GACGAAUGCUGGCUGCGUGCUUAACACAUGCAAGUCGAACGGUGAAGGAGGGCUUGCCCUCCGGAUCAGUGGCGAACGGGUGAGUAACACGUGGGCAACCUGCCCCUCACUCUGGGAUAACGCCGGGAAACCGGCGCUAAUACCGGAUACGACCAGGCGCGACAUCUCGCCUGGUGGAAAGAAUUUCGGUGAGGGAUGGGCCCGCGGCCUAUCAGCUUGUUGGUGGGGUAACGGCCCACCAAGGCGACGACGGGUAGCCGGCCUGAGAGGGCGACCGGCCACACUGGGACUGAGACACGGCCCAGACUCCUACGGGAGGCAGCAGUGGGGAAUAUUGCGCAAGGGGCGAAAGCCUGACGCAGCGACGCAGCGUGAGGGACGAAGGCCUUCGGGUUGUAAACCUCUUUCAGCGGGGACGAAGCGAAAGUGACGGUACCCGCAGAAGAAGCACCGGCUAACUACGUGCCAGCCGCCGCGGUAA